AACGCACGAGACCUGCGGACCUGCGGAAGGAUCAUUAACAGAGAGAUAAUCGCGGGGAGGCCAUUGUCAUUGGCGGUGGCCUCCGUGUGGUUUGUAUGGCAUGUGCAAAACAUUGUUGAUGCUUAGUGUGCGUGUGAUGUUUUUGGAUUUGAUAAUAAAAAUAUAAUGUAUUACAACUUUUAACAACGGAUCUCU
This 195-nucleotide unclassified non-coding RNA is filed under the name soil metagenome. Its description in RNAcentral is "partial contains 5.8S ribosomal RNA, internal transcribed spacer 2, and large subunit ribosomal RNA". The record is from RNAcentral.